UACGAGGGGGGCAAAUGUUGUUCGGAAUCACUGGGCGUAAAGGGAGCGUAGGCGGGCUUUUAAGUUAGGUGUUUAAUCCCGGGGCCCAACCCCGGUCGUGCACUUAAAACUGGGAGUCUUGAAUAGUGGAGAGGUCAGUGGAAUUGGGGGUGUAGCGGUGGAAUGCGUAGAGAUCCCCAAGAACACCAGUUGCGAAGGCGGCUGACUGGACACAUAUUGACGCUGAGGCUCGAAAGCAUGGGGAGCAAACAGG
RNAcentral lists this ribosomal RNA (253 nucleotides) under uncultured bacterium. RNAcentral describes it as "partial 16S ribosomal RNA". It matches the Rfam family "Bacterial small subunit ribosomal RNA", at positions 524 to 776 of the family's 1533-position model. The record is from RNAcentral.